UACAGAGGGUGCAAGCGUUAAUCGGAUUUACUGGGCGUAAAGCGCGUGUAGGUGGCCAAUUAAGUCAAAUGUGAAAUCCCCGAGCUUAACUUGGGAAUUGCAUUCGAUACUGGUUGGCUAGAGUAUGGGAGAGGAUGGUAGAAUUCCAGGUGUAGCGGUGAAAUGCGUAGAGAUCUGGAGGAAUACCGAUGGCGAAGGCAGCCAUCUGGCCUAAUACUGACACUGAGGUGCGAAAGCAUGGGGAGCAAACAGG
Molecule: ribosomal RNA, 253 nt
Filed under: uncultured bacterium
Lineage: Bacteria
Description: partial 16S ribosomal RNA
Rfam family: Bacterial small subunit ribosomal RNA
Source: RNAcentral